GACUGCUGGAGAAUUUCUGUUUGGAGCAUUGGAAAAAAAUGCAAACUCAAGGCUUGGGUGGUUUUCAGGCUGUGUGUCUACAUUCCUGCACAGCAAUGGGAGUAAGCUGAGGAAAAGGGAGUUAUCAGAAAGCACGGACUACAGGAAUGUCUCGCCUGACACCUGCCCCCAAACGGUGGAAGAAGGGAUUCACUUUUAUGCUGUAGACUCCUACAUUCAACUGAACAUAACUCAGCCUCAGAACAUCAUAGAAACGUUCGGACUGACCUUCAAGACUAAGGAAGAGUCUGGACUGCUUUUUAUCACU
Molecule: long non-coding RNA, 307 nt
Organism: Callorhinchus milii (elephant shark)
Lineage: Eukaryota; Metazoa; Chordata; Chondrichthyes; Chimaeriformes; Callorhinchidae
Exons: 3
Source: RefSeq, a predicted model, not a curated record